AUUGAACGCUGGCGGCAGGCUUAACACAUGCAAGUCGAACGAGUGGCGGACGGGUGAGUAAUGCUUGGGAAUCUAGCUUAUGGAGGGGGAUAACUAUGGGAAACUGUAGCUAAUACCGCGUACCAUAGGAUGAGCCCAAGUGGGAUUAGGUAGUUGGUGAUGUAAAGGCUCACCAAGCCGACGAUCUCUAGCUGGUCUGAGAGGAUGACCAGCCACACUGGGACUGAGACACGGCCCAGACUCCGACGGGGGGCAGCAGUGGGGAAUAUGGCGCAAGGGGGGCAAGCUGAGGCAGCCAUACCGCGUGAAGGAAGAAGGACUUCGGGUUGUAGAGUUCUUUCGGUAGCGAGGCGUUAACUACAGAAGAAGCACCGGCUAACUCCGUGCCAGCAGCCGCGGUAAUAC
Molecule: ribosomal RNA, 405 nt
Filed under: uncultured bacterium
Lineage: Bacteria
Description: partial 16S ribosomal RNA
Rfam family: Bacterial small subunit ribosomal RNA
Source: RNAcentral